Orussus abietinus is the source of this 2382-nucleotide long non-coding RNA. RefSeq lists it as uncharacterized. The transcript has 3 exons. The record is from RefSeq and is a predicted model, not a curated record. NCBI's taxonomy places the organism in Eukaryota, Metazoa, Arthropoda, Insecta, Hymenoptera, Orussidae.
CUCAGACACGGGGAUGCUCGCAAUGCCUCUAUCAAAGACGCGUCGCACUGUGUUGUUAUGUGUUGUCAUAGUUAUUUCAUUGAAAAAUUAAUUUGACCGUUAACUCUGGCGCACACAAAGUUAUUUUCUGUCUGUAAAAAAAUAAACCCACGAGGAAAGUAGAGUGUGAGAGAGAGAGAGGGAAAAAAAAAGGGGGAAAUACGAACUGUCAAAAGAAUCCGAACAACCAAAGCUUGAUUUGCCGAAGGACCUUUUUAGACCACACCCUUUCGAGCAUACCUCAUUUUCGAAAUUAAGCAGAAGCAUACAAGAGUCGACGAGGAAACCAAAGAAAAUAGAAAACGAUAAAAAGCACCAAAAAAAAAGAAGAAGGGAGAGAGAGAAUAAGUGAAGAAACAAAAUUGAAAGCAUUGCCUUAGAAGAAUACCUACACCGCGCGGUAAACUUGAGAAAGAGAGAGAGCGAGAGAAAGAGAGAGAUAGAAGGAGAGAGAGAAGUACGAAGCGACAAAAAAAAACAAAACUGAAGAAAACCAAAAACAUAAGAGAGGGAGAACGUGAUUAUACAAAGGGAGGAACAAAUUUUAGAAGAAAAACGAGAAAUCGCCUACGAAAAUAAAUUGUAAAGAUAUGACUAAACUAUAUUUUUAACAAGUUUUGAGAACUUUAGAUUUUAAAGGAUUUAACAUUAAAUGCGGAGGAGGGAAAAAAAGGGAUGAGGGAAAUGAUAAAAUUCCUAGUAACCUAAACAAAAGAAAAAAAAAAAAAAGAAGAAGAAGAAACAUGUGAUCUAAAAGUCGUUGCUACCAAGAGAGCCUUAUGUCCUUGUUUCAGUUAGUUCGGUUCCACAUCUUCAAGCGGGAGACGCGUUGCAGCGAGAGAUUCCCGCUCAGGAGAGGAAGACUGGACGAAGCGGAAGAAGCGGAAUAAGACUUGAGAUCAGAGGCAGAGGAGCAGGAGCGAGACCUUCCGAGGCGCGAGGAAGAGCGAGCGGGAAACGCGGGAAGAGGAGAGACGUCCGGUUCGAGGAGGAGCGUGCCCCGAGGAAGACCGAAGGAUCCACCUGGAAGGGAAGAGCACGGAGAAGGAGAAGGAGAAGCGGCGGGAAGGGAGAGGGAGAUUAAAGGAGAAAGAAAGAGAGAGAGAGCUCGCCGGGUCUCGCCCGAGCACCAGCGAAGGAAGAAACCCCGCGCCAUACAUAUAGAUUUCAGUGUGUUCAAAAAACGAGUGUACCUAAGUGCAAUAUUAAUUAAAAAGAAGAGGAAACCUACGCUAAACGAUAAUAAGAAGCAACUACCGGGGCCGGAUCGAACCGCAGGGCGCGGCGAUCGGCGAUCGAUUUCUAAUCGUUUAGAGAUUAAACCUAGAGUCGCAUCUCGAGGCGGAGUCGCCACGGAAGCGACGCCCUCGGGAGGGUCCUAGGCAGAAGGCGCCGAGAAUUCGAGGAAGAGGAAGAGGAAGAGGAAGAGGAAGAGACGAGAGUCCGGAGGUCCCGAGGGAGAGGGAGAGAGAGAGAGAGAGAGGAACGGGCCGUCGUCCCGCGCGAUACACAUCUCACGGUCGCGCACACCUCGGCGGGAACGCACCCGACCGGGCGCGGGCGCGCACCACACACACGCACACGCACACCACGGGGCAACAAAACUCAGGGCAAAGCGGGACGACCGGACGCCUCUCCCGUCCGGGAGCCGAGGAUCGGCCUUCGACCUUGGACCCCGAGCGGCGUCGACGUGGACCUCCGCGUCUCGUUCACACCGUCCGGGCUGGGCAAUCCUGAAUUAACCUGAACUUAAGUGUACGGUAGAUGUUAAGUAGUUAGAGAGAAGAGAAUAGAGCGCGCCUCCUCGAGUAGGAGGGGGUGUAGCGGGAGGACGAGGGACCGCGCGAGCGCGACCCUUCGCGCGCGCCCGCACACACACACGCACCCACACAACCACACCACACCCACGACAGGCACACACUCUCGGACGGAAGACGCGACGGAGACCGGCAGCGACCUUCGCGAGUAGUGCCGGCACGGGAGGGCCGAUCGGGAGGCCGGCCGACUCGCCGCUCCAGGAGGUUUGAUGAGCCAGGUCCGAGUGGGCGGCUCCAGGAAGAGUCCGGAGUCGGGGAAGUGACGCCUCGCCGGGAGCGACCUCGGGAGUCCCGGCCGGGCCCCACGGGAAGCGCGGAGGUGCGCCCGCCGCCGAGCUGGUUACCAGGAGCGGUGCCAAUAACCGGGCAAGCUGCGCCGCAAGGGGGUAGCCCGGGCUUCGCGCGAAGGCCUCAAGAUUUCGGACGCGACGGCGGCCCUGGACCUGCGAGCGCAGACCCAAGCCCAGCCGGAGUUCGGCCUAGACCAGCACCAUCGCGCGCCAAACCCGGAGACCCGGAGGCACCA